UAUUGCUGAACCUUCCCUUCCACAAUCUGUACCUCAGACUAAACCUGCACCUGAAUCUAAACCACCUAUUGAAAUUCCAGUGCCUAAUAAAAACAUAGUAGGAAAUAAAGGUGUGCAAAUAAACAAUGAAGAUGACAUAUUAAUAAAAGAUGUUGAAAAUAGAGGUAUCAUAACUUUGAAUCGUCCAAAAGCAUUAAAUGCCUUAAAUUUAUCAAUGGUUGAAAAAAUAUAUAGUAUACUCAAAAAAUGGGAAACGUCUAAAAAAUUAGUAAUAUUAGAAGGUACAGGAGAAAAAGCAUUUUGUGCUGGUGGUGAUGUAAAAUCUAUUGUCGUUGCACUAAAAGAAAAUGACAACAAUCUAGGUGAAACAUUUUUUAGAAAAGAAUAUACUUUAAAUCACUUGAUUGGUACAUAUAAAAUACCAUAUGUGGCUUUAAUA
This is a non-coding RNA of Nomia melanderi (Alkali bee), 439 nucleotides long. Lineage: Eukaryota; Metazoa; Arthropoda; Insecta; Hymenoptera; Halictidae. The record is from RefSeq and is a predicted model, not a curated record.